Drosophila kikkawai is the source of this 579-nucleotide non-coding RNA. The record is from RefSeq and is a predicted model, not a curated record. NCBI's taxonomy places the organism in Eukaryota, Metazoa, Arthropoda, Insecta, Diptera, Drosophilidae.
AUAAGAAAGCCGACUGCAAAUGUGGGGAAACCAUCGCGCGCCUUGACAAGAUGAUAGUCGAUCUAACUGAACUAGUUAGCACCUCACGAGCCGAAACAAAAGUGGCCGAUGAAGUUCAUGCUUUAAGAGCCGACCAAAAAGUGACGCAGGACAAAAUCGAGGUACUAGUAGAAGCUUUCUCAGAGCAAACAGAAACUGUCAAGGGGAUGACGAAGCAAGAAGGCUAGCAAGUUUCCUGUUCCUGAACUCAGUAAUAAACAUUGCAAACCGAGAGCUCUGUGUAUGUAUAAAUACCGACAAAAAUUUUCUUUUAACCGCAAUUCGUAUUUAUUUCGUUAACAGAUUGAUGCAAUAAAAAACAUAAUUGUCAAUGGCGGAAUUUUAAAAAAUCUGAGAAAUCUUAUGGCUAAUGAGGUGGUUUUGGCUUAUAAUAUAGAUGGUGUUCAGGGGAAAGCGGCCUUAAGAAAGGAAAUAGAUUUCUAUGGUGUUAUGAUUGAUUCCAUAAAUGCAGUUGGAGGUAUUGGGUCAGCUGAGGACCAGCUGCGAGAGGCCUUGCAGCUCCAAAAAAAGAGGCACUUU